This 182-nucleotide ribosomal RNA is filed under the name Bacillus subtilis. RNAcentral describes it as "partial 16S ribosomal RNA". It matches the Rfam family "Bacterial small subunit ribosomal RNA", at positions 54 to 227 of the family's 1533-position model. The record is from RNAcentral. Lineage: Bacteria; Bacillati; Bacillota; Bacilli; Caryophanales; Bacillaceae.
CAUGCAGUCGAGCGGACAGAUGGGAGCUUGCUCCCUGAUGUUAGCGGCGGACGGGUGAGUAACACGUGGGUAACCUGCCUGUAAGACUGGGAUAACUCCGGGAAACCGGGGCUAAUACCGGAUGGUUGUUUGAACCGCAUGGUUCAAACAUAAAAGGUGGCUUCGGCUACCACUUACAGAUG